Molecule: RNA transcript, 3192 nt
Organism: Odobenus rosmarus divergens (Pacific walrus)
Lineage: Eukaryota; Metazoa; Chordata; Mammalia; Carnivora; Odobenidae
Gene: SLC25A36
Gene name: solute carrier family 25 (pyrimidine nucleotide carrier ), member 36
Exons: 8
Source: RefSeq, a predicted model, not a curated record
AGCUGGAGCGGGAGGUGGCGCGGCUGUAGCACCGCGGGGAGGGCCGCGCCGGUUGCUUUCUGCAGCCGCUUCUCCGCUAGCCGGUCCCCCGCCGUCCCUGGGGCGCCGCGCGGCUCUAGACCGGGACCAAAGCCGCCGGCCGCCGCGGGUGGCCGGAUCCGCGUCCCGCCUCAGCGCCCGGAGGACAUGCGGGAGAGAGAAUGACCCAGAGGGACACGCUGGUGCAUCUGUUUGCCGGGGGAUGUGGUGGUACAGUAGGAGCUAUUCUGACAUGUCCACUGGAAGUUGUAAAAACACGGCUGCAGUCCUCUUCUGUGACACUUUAUAUCUCUGAAGUUCAGUUGAACACCAUGGCUGGAGCCAGUGUCAACCGAGUAGUGUCUCCUGGACCUCUCCAUUGCCUAAAAGUGAUCUUGGAAAAAGAAGGGCCUCGUUCCUUGUUCAGAGGAUUAGGUCCCAAUUUAGUGGGGGUGGCUCCUUCCAGAGCAAUAUACUUUGCUGCUUAUUCAAACUGCAAGGAAAAGUUGAAUGGUGUAUUUGAUCCAGAUUCUACCCAGGUACACAUGAUUUCAGCUGCAAUGGCAGGCAUUUACUGUACAUUUCUCCCGAGAAAAGAGUGAGAUCGUGUCAUCUCAUGCUCCCCAUCCGCAGGUCACUUCCUGUAGAAAUAUGGACUAACUUAAACCUCAGUUCAUUUUAAACAUGUUUGUUUAGGUUUUACUGCAAUCACAGCGACCAACCCCAUUUGGCUUAUAAAGACUCGGUUACAGCUUGAUGCAAGGAACCGUGGGGAAAAGCGAAUGGGCGCUUUUGAAUGUAUUCGUAAAGUGUAUCAGACAGAUGGACUUAGAGGAUUUUAUAGGGGCAUGUCUGCGUCAUAUGCUGGCAUAUCAGAGACCGUUAUCCAUUUUGUUAUUUAUGAAAGUAUUAAGCAAAAACUACUGGAAUAUAAGAUUGCUUCUACAAUGGAAGAUGAUGAAGAGUCUGUAAAAGAAGCAUCCGAUUUUGUGGGAAUGAUGCUAGCUGCUGCCACCUCAAAAACUUGUGCCACAACUCUAGCUUAUCCACAUGAAGUUGUAAGAACAAGACUACGUGAAGAGGGAACAAAAUAUAGAUCUUUUUUUCAGACACUGUCUUUGGUGGUUCAAGAAGAAGGUUAUGGGUCUCUUUACCGUGGUCUAACAACUCAUCUGGUGAGACAGAUUCCAAACACAGCCAUUAUGAUGGCCACCUAUGAAUUGGUGGUCUACCUUCUCAAUGGAUAGCAACUUCAGGCUGCUGUACUAUGAAGAGGGAAGACCAAAAGAUUACAGUGGACCAUGCAGUAUUGAAGCCAGCAUGGUGGACAGAAGAAAAAAGUUUGGGAACAUGUAACUAUGCCUAAGUGGAAGUUUGGUUGUAGGAAUUAAAGUAAUCAUAACCACAUUACUUGGUCUUUUUCAGUAAUGUGAAGGGAAAAAAAAAAAAACAAACCUAGGCUGCCUCUAAGAAAAAGCCUUUAGAAGCACUCCUGCCUCCAAAUUGCCAUUUUCUCUACCAUGUCCACAGGACACAGUUGCAUUUUGUUGAUUUAUGGCAGUCAGAGUAUAGUGUGUGUUCCAUGAGCACUUUUUCCAGUCUUCUAAACAAAGCCAUCCCUAAUUGUAUAAAUAUUAUAACUAUCCAAAGAUAGUAUUGACAGUCAUAAAUGUCUUACCUCUGGCAUCUGUGUAAUUUCUGUAAAAUUGUAAAAUAAGAGUAAGUGAGAUCCUUAGUAUUAUUUUCCCAUUUCCUUGAGGAUCUGGAAUAUUUUAAAAUUAAUUAUUUGGCAUUAAUAGUCACUAGUUUUGACAACUAAUGAAAUAAUGUCUAAAGAUCUUGCGUAUUUUUAGCUUUAAAAUGUUUUGGUUUCCACUGCUAACAGGUGCUUGAUGUUGAGCAUAAUGUGGACACUUAAAUUGUUCAUUAACAUAUCAAGCUGAGUGGUAAUAGUUUGGGACAGAAGAAACCAUGAAAUGUUGAUUCUUGGCCAUUUGAAUAACUUGAGCACGUCCUCAUAUCUUCUCUAACUUUACAAUACAUGAACGAAUGGGGUUGUCUUGUCAGUGAUUUAUUAGUUACAAACUUGAAUGAUCAUCUGUCAUACCUAGGUAUCAUUUUCUUAAAGUGGAAAGAAUUCACCACUUCUGAAUCUUUUUCUGUUUGCCUUUACGUUAGGAAUUUGAACCAUUGAAUUAUUUCCAGAAGAUCAGUAUAGAUUGCAUUUAUUUUGUAGAGAAAAUGGUAAUUUUCAGCUUUGCCAUAAUAGGUUUCUUUUUUAAGGUGACAUUAUACAUAUCUGGGGCAGUAUAAACAUAGAAGAGGGGGCUCUCUGCUAUCUGAUUGAGCAGGUAGUGUGAUCCUAAUUGACCACAGUUUGUAAAUGAACAAACUGCUUUUGACAAGAAAUUUAUGCUAUCCUGUGAUUCUUGAAUGGUAAAUCAUAGAAAGAUUCAAGUUAAUUCAGAUUAAGUGUGCUAACAGGAUAUAGCUUUUACAUUUUGCUGUUGAGUUUAACUGUACCUUUUAAUACUUAAAUGUAUAUAUGUAUGGCCCUUAUGAAGAUGUUUGCUGUAAUUCUGUUAAGAGACUUUUGCUUAUGGAUGUUGCUAUACUGGUGUAUAAAACAUCUACAAUUAAACUCCAGUGUGGUACUCAUUUCAGUAUAGAUGAACUGUACAUUUUGUGCAAUGGCUUUAUCUUAAGAAUGACUCCUUGUGAAUGCACUUUGUGGCCUUUUUUUGGAGGAGGGGUGAGAGUAGAGAAUUCCAUGUUAAGAUUGUUUUUUUUUUAAACAUUGGUCAUGUAUUAGGCAGAAACCAUGUUCAAACCAUUUUUCUGGGUUUUAGAUAUGGUGUUUUGGAGAUCUUUAAUAAUAUAAAUGUUUUAUGUAUUCUGUGUACACACUAAUGCCCCUAACACAGAAAACUGUAGCACGUCAUUGCAAGUUUUCUCUGCUGUCACCAGUGAAACACAGUGCACUCUUAAAUUCCUUCACUUUCUUAACUCCUUAUAAUCAACAGUAACUGGAUGUUUUUGAGGUGCUUCGAUUGGAAUUAAAAAAUAUUCCAAUCUAUUUGGAGACCAAAGGCAAAUUUAGUUUCAUUACCUUUGGGAUUAUUUGUACCUUUUAUGGUGAAUUUUAGCUUUGACAUUUAUUGUGAGAAACAAGCC